CAAAAGCCGAGGUGGUGGGCAACUGUUGGUCAGUUUGAACUGCUGGGCGGGAAGCUGGGCGGCGGGAGGGCUAGGGCCGGUAUGUAAAGUGAGAGAUAAGGGAGCCUCUUUGUGGGGGAGGGAAAGAGAGAGAGAUUUUGCGGUAGGGGCAGAGUUUUCCAAACAUUCCCGACUCCUUAAAGAAAAGAAAAAGAGGGGGUCAGGGGCGUCGGUUGUCUCUCUGGCUACUUCCUGCUGACAAGGGUCGACGGGGGGUUCUGAAGAGGUUUCUUUUCCUAAGGAGCCUGGAGGUUUGGGGAGAGGUCUGUUUCUUGCACUCGUUCAGGGUAGGGUUGGAGCAGCAUCUGGUGGAUGGUGACUCGAGUCAGUUCUUGAAAGCGCCGCUAUAGGAACUGUAGAAAGCAAGGAGCAAUAAGUAAGAUUAGGCAAACAGCUAUUAGGGGCCCAAGCAAUGGUGACAAGAGGGUAUACAUAGAGGAAGACCACCACGCUGUGGCUUCAGCCGAGAACUUCUGACUCUACAGGUUAGUUUUGAGUUUCUGGAGGCUCUCGAUUCGGGUUUCUACUAGGCCGGAUUCAUUGAUGUAGUAACAGCACUCUUCUUGUAGGAAGAUACAGGUCCCUCCUCGUUCAGCAGUGAGCAGGUCCAGGGCUCUUCGGUUCUGCAAGGCAACUUGGGCAACUGAGGUGAUCUGUCAUUGGAGUGAUGCUAAAGACUCAGUAGAGUCAUUAAUAGCCGCUUGGAGUUGUGAGGUCAGUCGGGCUAUGGCCAGGUGAGAGUGGACUAGUGCCCCUCCUCCUAAUCCUGCUGCAAGUGCUGAACCAGCAAGGGAGACUCCAACGGCAAUGGGUAGGAAGGCAGCUCAUCGGGUGCAGCGAUGGGGAGUUUGCAGCAUCUGGAAUUCGGCUGGGGAAUAUAUAGUGAGUCAAGGGACUAGGGUUACUGGGAGGCAUAAAAGAGAUGAGGAAAGGCCAAUGUAGAGAGUUUUUGUUAAGGUCUUGUUACACCCGAAAAACGUUCCUCGUGGGGCUGUUAUAUUAGUGGUUACCCGUAUAGUUCUGUUACAGCUAGGGACGUUUCGGCCUAGGGAAUGUGGGGUUUGGUAGGGGAUACUUGGGGUCCCAUCGAUUCCCAUGACCAAGACCUGGGAAGGGGUGAGAUGGCCAGAAUAAGAAGGAAGAGCGGAGUAGGUAGCCCCCAUGUCUUGUGACCCUAGGCUCGGCAAGGGUAACCGGAGUCGGAAAGCCAGGGCCCCGCUAGUCAUCUAGCAGCCCUAGUAGACUGGGGAACGGAGCUCCCUCGGAGGUCGGCUCCUGGCAAGCAGGCUCCUCCCUACUGAGGGUGACCGCCGGCUGCGUAACGCCAGUGUGUCUGUUUUGAGGAACCGGCACCCUGGGGAAGCUGGGGCAGUCUGACUUCCAGUGUCCCGGGAGCCGACAGAUAGGGCAAGGCUUAGUUGGUGGCCGUGGUUGUGGACAGGCUCGGGACCAGUGUCCUUCCUUUCCACAUUUGAAACAUGCCCCUGGAGGGGCAUGGGUUUCGGCCUUGGGCUUCUGGUUCCCUGCUGGCCUUAGAGCCGCCACUAGGGCUUGGGUCUGGAGGGCAGCCUUCUGCUUCAUGCGAGUUUGGCGGGCAGCCUCAGCCGCAUCUUCCAUGGCAUUGAAUACUUUAAAGGCCAUUUUUACCAGGUUUUGGAUGGGAGUCUCUGGCCCCUCUUCUGCUUUCUUUAGUUUCUUUCUUAUGUCGGGUGCUGACUGGGAGAUAAAAUGGGAGGCUAAUACAGUGGCCCCAUUUUGGGAGGCUGGAUCUAGUCGAGUGUACCGGACUAGGGCUUCUUAUGUUUGAGUGAGGUAUUGGAAUUCUUUAAUAUAGGUGGACGGGUUGGCUGAGAAGGAUCCUAAACGUUUCUCAAUUUGGGACAGGUCUUGGAGUGAGAAAGGAACAUGGACCCUGAUUAAACCUUCUGCGCCUGCUACUUCUCGGAGUGGGGCCAGGAUAGCUGGCUGGUGGGAGCGGGUGUGGGCCGCCACCGGAGAGGCAAGAGGAAGUGCAGCCUCUGAGGGAGGGGGCUCGGAGGGAGUAGAGGGAGAGCGAGGCAUGGCCUCUGAGGUAGGAGGUGCAGAGGGAGUGGGGGAAGGGCGUGCCGUUGAUGGCGAGUGGUUGCUGAGAUUGGCAGGAGAGGACAGAUGUUCAGGCAGAUCCUCCGGUGAGGAGUAGGGAGGGGGAGAGGUAGUGGAGGAAGAUUUACGGGGGGUUCGAGAUAAGAGGAUUUGGUAGGUGGAGCAGGAAGAACAUAGGUUGGGGUGGGUACGGAGGUCCCAAAAAGCCUGGACGUAAGGAAUUUCAUUGUCCUUGCCCGUGCGGCGACAAAAAUCGUCGAGAUCUCGGAGGGUGUUGAAAUCAAAAGUGCCAGUCGGGGACCAAUGUGACUGGUUACUGAGUUUGUAUUGGGGCCAAGCCACCUGGGACAGGAAAAUAAGCUUUUUCUUUCUGAGGGUUUGGGAAUAUCCCAAUUUGGUAAAAUUUCGCAGCAAGCACCCGAGGGGGGUGCUCAGAGGUAUUUUGGACUCCGAAUUUCCCAUGGCAGGUGCAGCUAAAGACUCUCCAGUGCGGAUGGGCAGAUGCAACGAAAAGGCGUCCCCGUUCGUUGCAAAUUCCCCGGAGUACAAUUAAGUACGGAAAGGGAAGCGGUCAGAGGGGCGUCCCCCGUCUGGCGGCUGUCCCUCGGAAGGCUCCUGGAGCCGGAAUGGAAGACUACCUUGGCUCGGCCGAGACUAGGCAAGGAGUCCGUGCGGAACGCCGGAGAGGGAGCAACUGCACCGUGCCAUAGGAAGAGGAGACGGGAAGCGGGGGAAGGCAAAGUAAGAAAAACUUGGCUUACCUUAAUCGGAACGUGGAGGUGGCAGGGCCAGUGUUGGGUAGGUCGGGGAGGGGGGCCGUGGCCGGGCCAACGGCCUCAGCUCCCGUCCCGGGUUUCGGCACCAUUUGUCCGACCUACCCUCUGCGGGAAGACUGAGCUCGUUCGGAAAAAACCGGACCGCAGGCUAGAGGAAAUUCCUUAAGUUCAGGCUUUAUUGAGAGGAAAGAGCCUCCGGGCAGGCCAGCCGGGACGAAAAGGAAAAAUGGCCGCGCCGCUCAGAGGGGCAGGGUUGUUUUAUAGGGGGCUGAAGGGCUGGGGGGUGGGGAAGCCAAAAGCCGAGGUGGUGGGCAACUGUUGGUCAGUUUGAACUGCUGGGCGGGAAGCUGGGCGGCGGGAGGGCUAGGGCCGGUAUGUAAAGUGAGAGAUAAGGGAGCCUCUUUGUGGGGGAGGGAAAGAGAGAGAGAUUUUGCGGUAGGGGCAGAGUUUUCCAAACAAUAUCCAUAAAGUAAUAUCUGUUAGUUAUUUUGGAUAACAUAUAGUUCCUCUCUCGGUUCCUACUUUCCCUCAGCUCGACUCCCCGAACCAGGGAUCUGUGUCUGGGCUCAAGCUCACCGUAUGGUGAGGCCCAUUUCCCAGGGGGCCUCACACGGGAGCGAACCCCAUAGAUUCCCUCAAUGGACGUUGCUGCAAAAAUCCCGUCGCCAUCCUAAAGCCUAGUGCUGAUGGUAGAAGUAAGCAGCUCUACGAAGUGGACAUGCCUACGCCUUCAGUGCCUUCCCACGAAGGUGCUCUAUGCUCACUUCCUGCUAGUCCUCAUCUAGAUGCUAUCUCAUAGUUCAGUGUUACAGGCUCAAGAUGUGUCUUCCCACAGUGACUCUGUUUAGUCCAAGAGCCUGAAUUAUUAAGUUGUGGGUAGAAAAAGUAUAUUUGGGAUCCACAGACUAGUUCCCUUGCUCCAUGUGUAAGUUAUAAUGGGGAGCCAGACAGAACCUCUCUGCCCACUACCAGAUUGCUCGGUUAAUGUGUGGGCACCAUUCUGUGGCAACCAGGACACUGCCCUGCUCAGAAGCAAUGUCUUCAAAGCUCCAGCCAUGAUUACAAGGCGAUGUUUAAAAGAGUUAACAAUUGGAAUGAACGGCAUGGGACCAACUAAUCCGAAUGAAGACAGCCAUGGUACUGGAAUAGGAUCACAGAGCACCUCCGCUUGCUUGGCCUUCACCUUUGAGUUUUUUUGGAUCAUAGGGAGUCUAAGGAGUCCUGGGAGAGGGCCAGGGAACCUGCAGCUGUGGCAGGGCUCAGGGCUGUGGCUUUUUACCAAAUGGUACAGAAAUAGACAAAUUAUAACUCCCACAUGGCUGAAUCAGUUCAUACUGACCAGCACGACUCAAUCCCUUUUGUCCAGAGGAUGUUUUGGACCUUCCUACUGAUGAGGCAAGUUUUGAACAGAAGUUGUGUGAUUUGCAUACACAUUCAGAGGCUGCUCACAGUUGAAAAUCAGAGGUGGGAAGACCAGGAAUGUCUGGGAUUGCAUAGUCAGGGAGUCCGUGAACUGACCUGACAAAGGCUGGUUAGAAAUGUCACUCCAGGUAGCAUGGAGUCCCUGCAUGUGGAGUUCCCUUCUGCUCCUAUCUAGCUUUGCUCCACUUUGCUGACCUUCAAGCUACUUUGGCUGUUUCUAUCUGGGACUCUUAGCUCCCAGUGGUUCUUUAAAGGGAUUUUAGGUUUGGGACUCGCUGCAACUUUUUGGUGCAUGUGCCUUGAAAGCUCUGCCUCAGUUAGUACCUUGUUGACCCAUCCUCCCAUCUUGUAUAGCACCACUUAAACAGAAAGGCAGAGGAUCAUAAAAAUCCAGAUUCUGGGAAUCAGGAGGAGAGGGGCAGCCUGGGCUGUGGACAAAGUUUACUCCCUUCAAUCAGACAAAUGACAUACAUAUAACUCCCAGCCACACACAUCAAAGCAAAACUACUCUGAUAGUCCUUGCUUAACCAUUGCAAUGAACCUGGCACAGUAAGGAUCUGGAGGAUAAGAAGAAUUUUAGCAGGGGAGACAAUAAUGCAGCAAUAGAAUUUUCCACUAUUCUUGAAAUGAAGCUUCUGCUCUUUUAUUUCCCUGCACGGUGCAUAGUGUGACAGGACAAGUUACUUGGGAGAAUGGGGAAAACUUGCAGGAGAGGAUGCAGUUACAAUAUUUUGAGGCUGUAAUAUUUGCUGAUAGCUCUUCUGAACAAGGAUCUGGCCAUUCUCUUUCUUCUGAACAUUUUUACUGUCAAGACCCCAUUCCCACUGUGGGUGCCCCAACCCAUCUCCAUCAUGCUAUAUAUAUGGUUUCACUGCUCAUUAUCUUUUACUUCCGUGAAAGAAGCUCUUAAUCACAGCCCACCCUUUGGCAUGGCCAGGGGAAAAGAACGAAAUGAGCUUUAAGGUAUGGCAGGUGUCUUCGAGGCCUGCGACACUUCAUUAGACACAAUAAGGAAAAGGGAGUUAGACCUGAGGACUUACCAAGAACGUCUGUCUCCUGGAGGCCGUCUGAAUGAAGCGGGCUGGCAGCAGACCCAGCACCUUAAUAAGGACAAUUCAAUUGAUUCACUCUUUGUGUGAUCAGAGAUUCAAAGACUGAGGGGCAGGGCAUACUUUGGCCAGGCUUUGCCUUCUACAUAUAAGGAUUUAACGUAUUAAGUAAUAACAUCGGGUCAGUAGCAGAGCAAACCCAGAGCCUGGGCCUUUUAACCCCUAAUCCAGAGCUGAAUUCAUAUCCUAAGAAUCAGCACUGGCCAUGUUAUUCUAAACAGACAUCAGCACCAACUAGAGGUGGGCCACCACCUUGAUAGCAGCCAGAUGUCCUUGUCAGAGCACAUAAACUGGUAUACAUGCUGCCAUUUCUGAAUUAAAGAGUGACAUAUCCCAGCAUGGAGCACUGGAAAGGGAGGAGAAGAAAAGAAAAUGAAAAUGACCAGAUGAGCGUCAGACAAUUACAAGACAAAACACCUUCCUGAAAGCAAAAGUGUUCAUCUUCUCCCAUUGCAAUUUAGAGAUGCACACAGAGAUAAGGAAAUUACACUGUGGGUCACCUACCCUUGCUGCUCAGUUCCCAGCCAUAAUCCAUGCACAAUCCUGCUCUUCUGUUUCUCAGUCCCUUUGACACUGAGGUCAAGAGGAAGCUGAGUCAGUUCUGGGGUUGUAAGGAAGUUGAAACAUAGGCCCCGUUCUCUUUGGCAUUGGAAGCUGGAGUGGUCUGGGGAUGCUUCAUUCAUUAUCAACCUUAGAAGCCAUCUACCUGGCUUCCCUCAUUUUAUAGUCCAGAGCCGGGAAAUGACUAGUCAAAAAGACAGAGCCAGGGCUAGACCCCAGGUUUACUGACUCACAGGCCAGUGUUCAUUCCACCAUAGCUGUUUUUACCUAAAUUAUUUUAAUAUUUUAUUAUUAGUUUCAAUCAUGAAAUGAAAUUCUCUAUGUUUAGUCAUUCUCAAGGCUAUAUGUGUUUCUCUCUCUGUAACUUUGAGACAAUCUGGAAAAUAGAAAUUUGGCAAAGAUAGAUAGAUAGACACACACGUUGGUGUUUGCACACAAAAGAUCUUUGUUCACUGGGAAAAUCCUAAAAAGUAACAUUUUAAACUUUUAAGGUUAUUUUUCUAUUCUGUCUAAUUUAGUUCCAUAACAAGGUGAAAGCAUAAUAGAUAUAAUUAAUAAUCAUAUCAUGAGUUUUGGUAAAGCCUUGCUAUUGGGAGAUAGUUUUCCCAGAAAACUGUCAUUUCCCACAAUGAAUGACUAAUGCCUGAACAAUACACAUAUUUUGAAGUCAAAUAAUUUCCAGUUCUUUAACAUUUUAAUCAGGUUGUCAGCUGACAGGAUGGGGAACAUAAUUGUAGGUGACAGAUCACCGUUUGAUUUGUACAUAGAACUCAACAGGAGGCACUAAAUUAGAUGACCUUAACUAGAACAGGCUUCCUCUGUGGGUUCACAUCUACACCACCAAGCAAUUGGAAUCACAGUAAUCCUGAACCUGGGCAUUCUAGUAAGAAGCAUCAUUCACCUAUGGGUAUAAGCAAAUCCAGCUCUAUUCAUUUUUUGAAGAGCUGUAUGCUCAAUAAAAUUUCACAUUUUAUUUUUGAUAAUUAUCAAAAUUUGCACACCAGAUAUAUUUUAACGGUAACUUACCAGAAAAAAAUUUUUUACAUAUGAAGCUUAUGGAAUCAGGAAAAUUUUUAAAGCUAUAAAGAUUGAUAAAAGUUUCUAGGCCAGGUGCAGUGGCUCACACCUGUAAUCCCAGCACUUUGGGAGGCCGAGGCGGAUGGAUCACAAGAUCAAGAGAUUGAGACCAUCCUGGCCAACAUGGUGAAACCCUAUCUCUACUAAAAAUACAAAAAUUAGCUGGGUAUGGUGGUGCAUGCCUGUAAUCCCAGUUACUCAAGAGGCUGAGGCAGGAGAAUCCCUUGAAACCAGGAGGCAGAGGUUGCAGUGAGCCGAGAUCAUGCCACUGCACUCCAGCCUGGGCGACAGAGCGAGACUCUGUCUCAAAAAAAAAGUUUCUAAACAUAAGCAUAUAUUAAAUUAGAAUAAAAUUCCAUAGAGGAAGUAGAGAAAAGAGUAAAAACAAAAAGCAAAAAAGAACAAAGUAAAAUAAAGGUACAACUCUUAAGAACUUGUUCACAUACUUUCAGACAGAUUUUAAUGGGCGUCAUGUCACUCUGGUUUUGUAUUCUUUUGGACAUUUCCGAAAGGGUGGUGUAACACUUUUAUUUUAAAAUGUCACUAUUUACAAUAUGAUGGAAAUGACAUCCCCUGCAACUAUUGAAAUUUAAGAUAAAAAUUUUAAAUGUCAACUUGACAAUGUACAAGGGGGUACACAAUUUCAAAACUACUUUUAGGGAACACCCAACCAAAGAAAAAAAAAAGUAGGCAGGCCACGGUCCUGGGCAAGUCUGAUGCAGCCCAGUGUUUGAGAUCAAAGCCCACAGUCUCCGUGCGAGCCGACCUCCAGCCAGCCCUCCCGGUACCUCCACGAUGCAGGCCAGCUGCUCCACGUCAUUCUCCCCAGAGAACAGGGGGAAGCCCGUGUACAACUCUGCCAUGAUGCAGCCCAGGCUCCACAUGUCAAUGGCCAUGUCGUAGGGGUGGCCCAGGAUCACCUCUGGGGAUCGGUAGAACCGGCUUUGGAUAUACGCGUAUACCGCGGAGGCAAAGCGAGAGCAACCUCGUGGGAAAAACUCACUCUUCAAAACACUCUCCUCCAGGACACCUUCUCGGUUAAACUGCGCCCCUGCUGGCAGGGAAAGGGAAGUCCAGCUGGCCAGCACUUCGAAGUCUCAUUACACAUAACAGCAUCAAAUCAGCACAGUAACCUAAUUACAAAGGAGGUGUUACUGUCCCGAACUCCAACGUGAGUACUGUUGUAGGAAAGUGAAUUUAAGUUAGCCAAGUUUAUAACAAACAAAACGUAAGACAAAUAUAAGACUAAGUUUUCAAAACUGUCAGCUUGAUUUGGGGUAGACAGCUUCUGACUCUCGUGGCUUGGCAAUGGAAGAAGCGUAUCAACUUGGAAAGGAAGCAUGCGAAGUGUAUAUUCCAUAUAGUACGUGCACUUAUUGUAUAGAAAGGAAAUCUCAACAGAUGAAGAUGAAUGGACUGAAGUUGAAGAAAUGGAACACGGUAGUUAUUUCCACAUAACUGGGAUUGCUGGUUACCUGGGGAAGUGCAGGGAUCCUGUAAUCACCUUUUUGUUGUUUAAAUUGGUUAUUGUCAGAAGAUAAUAAUUCUGUGAUUUAAAACAAAAUAAAGAUUUAAUAAAAAUAAUUUUUAUAUUUUGCCUGCUUCCCAAAUGGAUCUGUGGUACUUUGCAAAGCACAUAUGCACAGAGUAUUUUAGAACAUGGAUUUAAUGGUAUUUACAUAAUGUUUAGUAUGUGCCAGUCAUGAUUCCAAGUGCUUUUACAGAUAAGCCCUUUCAACUUUUACAUAAAUUCUAUGAAACAAGUAGUAUUAUUGCCUCCAAUUGAAAUGUGAGAAAACUGAGGCAUACAGAGGUUAAAAUGUCAAGGUUACUGAGCUAUCAAUGACAGAGCUGGGAUUCAGGAUUAGGCAGUCCAGUUCUAGUAUCAAUACUAGAUACUGCCUCACAGUUAACGAUAAAAAGGAAGUCAGAAAAUAUGCAAAGGAGGAAAUGACUGUUAGGAACCAAGGAUAAAAUAAUUACAAACUCAGUUCUGAGCAUCUUGGCAGCCAAGAUCAAUGACACUGAUAAGUUAUGGCCUUCAACAUCUGAGAAGGGCAAACAUUUAAGUUCUUUGUGGAAAGCAUUAGUUUUUAGCUGGAAUUUCUUUUAGGAUUCAUACAUAAAAGAUAUGAAUGAAAUUAUGUCCUCAAAAAUUGAUCUGCCAGAGAGAGGCCCAGAUAGAGGACGCAGAGGCAUGCUGCUGCCAUGGCAGUGUGGUCCUGGCUGCCGUGGAGGCAGGUGGCAGGGUCUCCCUUGCCUCAAUGUGAAGAACUUAGAAAGAGGAGGAGAGGAGAACUCCCCUGGCCAUCUCUGUGACCCCAGCCGGCACAUUUUACACAGGCAGGAGGGAUAUGGAGGGAGAGAAGGGAAGGGUGAUGGAGAUAUUAAUGGUGGGAGAGAGGAAAAUGAAUGAAAAUAAAGAUACUGAUUCAAAAGAAAUUGAAGAAUAUGAAGAUGACCUUGAAAAGAACUCAGGGCCGGGUGCGUGGAUCACACCUGAGUGGAUAAUUUGUGAAAAUGAAAAAAGUGAUGCCAGUAUAAUUGAGAUGACUUGUUUGAAAGAAGAGACUAUUAAUCAAGACUUAAAAGAGAAUGAAACGGUAAUAGAACACACCAAACAGCUUUCUGAUCCUGACAAAUCAUUGCAGGAUGAGGUCUCGCCAAGAAGAAAUGUCUUCAUUUCUGUAGCAAGUAUCCCAUAUCAGAUUCAAAUAGUGAAAGCUCUUUCCAGGAAUUCAAACUAGAAAGCCAGAAAGACUUGGAGAAGGAGAGGAUGAGGAAGUAAGGAGAUCCAUUAUUAAGAAAAUCGUAUACACUAACAAGCUUCUACAGAAUCAAGAACCCGUGAAUGAUAAAAGCAAGUGAAAACUUAAGUUCAAGGACAAAUUAGUUGAUCUGAAAGUUCCUCCACUAGAAGACACUAAUACUUAUAAAAAUUAUUCUGAAAAUGAAAAGAAUAUGUUUGGGAAACUGUCACAGUUAUGUACUUCCAAUGAUUUUGGACAAGAAAAUGUGCUCCUGUCACUUACUAAUGGAAGCUGUGAAAUAAACAAGGAUAAGACAAUACUGGUAGAGAGAGAUGGAAAAUUUGAACUUCUGAAUUUACAAGACAUUGAGAGUCAGGGGGUUUUGCAUCCAUUAAUAAUGCAAAUAGUACAGAAAAUGACCCUCAGCAGUUGUUACCAGAUCUUCCAACUCCUAUGUCAGUGGCAUCAAGAAAGAAGAUUCUGCAGCAAAGAUUCAUGCUGCCACACACUCAUCAACAGGAGAGCCGCUGGCUUAUGUUCCUCAGCCACCACUCAUCUGCAAGACUUGUCCAAUUUCUGCUGCAAACUCAGGUCGAAGUAAAGGGAAUGGGAAAUCUAAUCGGGACACAGUCAGCACUAUCUCACCAGUGACCUAAAUAUACGGACUUUCCCCUCUACAGAAAGAACUACAAAAACAACUAGAACAAAAGAGAGAAGAGCUGAAAAGAGAGUAAAAGCAACAGCAAAUAGAAGAAGAGAAAGAAAAAAGAGAGAAUGACAUAGUAUUUAAAGCAUGGUUGCAAAAGAAAAGAGAGCAGGUCUUAGAAAUGAGGAGAAUUCAGUGAGCAGAGCAAAUUGAAGACAUGAACAGUGGAGUAAAAAUUCUCUGAAAAAUAAAUUCAUACAGAUAUGAAAGCUGAACUUAUUUAUGGAAGGGAAUCUGGGUAUCACACUAACAGCCUAUGGAAUAAGCAGAAAGUGGGCCAAGAACUACCCUUGCAAAAGAUGCAACAUGAAGAUGACUUUCCAAUUAGGUUCUAAGAGGCCUUGUGAAAAUAAAAUGAUUCUAUUUUGUUCAGACUUUGAUGGAACAGAAAAUAGGAAACAAUCAAUUCAUUUUUUCAAGAUGUAACUUUGGUAUUCAAACAGGAUAAAGAUACACACACAAAACCCUACAGACUGGUCUCACUUAAGACUAGACAUAUAGAGAUCUCACAUAGAUCUGUAGCAAAUUAAAGACCACAAAUUAUUUAAUUAAAAAAAUUUUUAAAAUUGAAACAAAAUCCAAAGAAAAAUUUUAAAAUCAUCAUAUCCUUAUUUUAAAAGAUAUAUAUGUAAAGUAAAAAGUUGAAAAUUCAAUCCCAGACUCUUCCAGGUUCAUCUCUAGUGAUAACCACUUUUAACAGUGGUACCUUUUAUAUCUUAUUAUAAAAGUGGUAUCCUUUUAUAUCUUAUUAUACUUAUAUAUUUACAUAUCAAAAGUUUUAUUAUUCAGUUUUUUUCACUUACUUCAUCAUGGACCUCUUUCUAAGCCAUUACAUUUAAAUCUCUCUUUUCAAAUAGCUGUGCGGUGUUACAGGGUUGAUUUAGUAAACCAUUUUUCAUUUGUAGGUAUUUAGGUUGGUUCCGACGUUGUGCUAGUUAACAGUGCUGUAGUGAAGACGUUCGUUCUGUGGGAACCUCGGUAAUCUGUAGGAGAGGGUCUUCAGAAGGGAACUGAUAAUUUUUGAAGGUUUAAAGUGAAAUGUUUGGUUACAGAUGCAAAAGUAACCUCCCAAAAGAUAAUAUGAAUUUGUAGUUCCUCCAACAGUGUGUGAGAGUGAAUGGCUAACACUGGGUGUAAUUUACUGUCUUAUUUUUUCUUCAAAUUAAUGAUAUCUAUGCUUGUAUAUGAGCAUGUGCAAGAAACAGUAAGAAAUAGAUAUAGGUCUCUACCCCUAGUAUUUGGCACAGAGCUCCUAAAACCUUUUUAAUUUCUUGAGUGAUAGGGGUUCCAUAUGUAUCUCUUGCUCUAAUAAUUGACCUUUUAUUCUGACUUCUGACAUGGAACUCCUAAUCCCUUGGAACUUCUUAGGUGAUAGGACUCUCUUUGUUCUAGUGAGAUGACUCUUGGUGAGCUCCUGGACAGGGGCUGGCUGCCAGAAAGACUAAGCCAUGAUUAGAAGCUCGGAACUUACAGUUCUAAUUCCUUUCUUCUAGGAAGGGGGAAAGGGCUAGAGAUUGAGUUAAUAAUCUCAAUGACUAUGUGAUGAAGCCUUCAUAAAAAUCCCUGAGCUGCAGGGUACAGAGAACUUCCAGGGUAUGGGAAAUGUGGUAUUGAAAAUGUGGCAUGCCCCCAAGCAGGCAUGGAAGCUUCACAUCCCUUCCCAAAUACUUUGCCUUGUGUAUCUCUUCAUCUGUGUCUUUUAUUACAUAAUUUAUUAAUAAACUUGUAAAUGUGUUUCCCUGAAAAAAAACUGAUCUGCUAAAUAUUUGGAAACAUCCAUCUAGUAGUCCUUUCUUCAGCCUCAGAAAGCUUCCUCUGACAGCCUCUGCCACCUCAAAGGGUGCUCCCAAAGUCCCUCUGUUAUGUAUCUUGAACACAGCCUGUUUAUCUCUAAUCAUUGUACUCAUCAUAUUAUUUUUGUCUUUCUGUCUCUUGCAUUAGUUGGUAAGCAACCUGAGGAUGGAGAGUGGUCAUUUUUUGUUCCUGGUACCCAGAACAGUGACUGACACAGAACAGAUAAUGUCUCUCUAAUGAUACAUGUUCUCUAUAGCAAACCUGAUAGAAGACAAAGGAACACACCAUUAAAUCAAGUUCAGUAAACGCUGUAAAAAUGUACAGCAAAGCUACUUUUUGGAUCCUAGCUAGAAAACGUAUAAAACCUAGAGGAUCUGGGGCAGCAAAUUCCAAACUGAGAAUGACUGUGGUUUCUGAAGGGCAGACUCCUAGCUGCUUCCCAGAAAUUUGGGUUAGAAACACGUGGGGUGAGGCCCUGGAAACGAUCAUUUUUCAGAGCCCCAAGGCAAUUUGGAUACGCAUUUAGUUAGUUUUGGGACUCACUGUUCUUGGGUAAUUCCAUAUCUAUAGAAUAUGAGAGCUUGAAAGCACCCGUAUAGUAUUUGGAUACAACUUUCUCAUUUUAUAGAUGAGGAAACUUGGGCUCAGAGAAGUGAGUACCUUGUUCAAAAUCAUGCUGUAGGGGUGGCGGCUGAGCCCAGGCUAGAAGCCAGGUGACCUGUGUAUGAAGGGAGGGAAACUGCAAUAGGAAAACUCAGAUGACAGGACUGGCAUGGGCCUACCUUUCUGAUUUUCAUAACAGCUUGAUCCGAAGUCAAUGACUGACAGACUUGGCCCUUUUGGUAUAGCACUCUAUUUUCCCAGAGAGAAGAAAAGACAUACAUCAAGCUACAGUAACACUGCCUAGGCCCUCUGCUUACCUAGAUGCUCCCCAUCCUUCAGGGUCCAGUUCAAAUAUGACCACCUCCAUGGGCCUCCUCCCACAUCCUCUCCAAAGUCCCAUCAUCCUCCCGCUCUGACUUUCCAUUUGAUUCGCAGAUGGUAUUUCUCAUUUGGACCUCAUAUUCACUGCUUUGCAGAGUUUCUUUUGCAUAUAUUGCGUCACUUUCCUUAUAUUGAUUGUGCCACUCCUGAAGAUUGUGACUUUGUUUUUAUCUUCUUUGGCACCUGGUUCCAGGCCUUGCUUGCAUAAGACCUUCGAAACGCCGUUGACUGAUUUGUUUGACAUUCCCAUUAAACACCUCCCUUGACACACUGCUGUGACAGUAGGGCACCAAGAAAAUGUCAAAGGCGAUGAUUUCACUGGAGUUUGUGAUUCUUACACAGCCUAGGGAAUAGAAUGGGUAUUUUCAGAGUGUUUCCAUGCCAGGGCGGAGGUGGUACUCACGGGCUUGAGAUCUCAGUGAAUGAUUUUCUCUACAGAAAGCACUUGCAAGCGCUUCAAAACAGAGAGAGUGAAGCACCGAACUAUCGACAGACUGAAGCCUUGAAAGCUGUUAUUUUUCAUCAACUCAUACUAGUUGAUUCUGGAAAAGAGAGGGGGAAAGUGAUGCGUAUGGGGAAAAAAACAAUAGAAGGCUGAGUUUGAAGCUGCAAACCACCUUGUAUCACCUGCUUUCCCUGCAGUAGGAGGCAGGGCUUUCAUGUCUUACAGAGUCAGCUUUCCCACUGAAUCACUGGACCCAGGGUGAAGUUCAGCUGUGCCAGACUCUCAUAUGUUCUCUCAUUUCUUAUGUGACAAGGCCACUGAAGCACUUCGUUAUGCAGUCGGGUUAAGAGGUUGGCCCAAACUUCUGAAAUAGUCAUACUUCCUCAGGCCCUUGAUAGGGACCCAGGAAGCCCACCAGUCACUAAAAGUAGCAGCCACUCCUGCCCAGGUCUGAUGGGGACUGUCUAAGGACAUCAGGUUCCAGACAAGUAAGGAACAAGAGAGUGGGCAGGUGGAGGCUGAAGCCAAAGGGAGCCCCUGCUCUACUCAAAAUGUGGCUGUUUGGUCCCAUCUACCUGUUCCCUUGGGAAAUGAAAGCUCGCUCUUGCCAGAGAAUCUUACACUCUCUAGGGUGGCAGAAGCCUACUAUAUUAUUUGAAGUUUACAGAAUGUUAGAACUUAUGAAUGUUAGAAACUAAUACAAUACAUUUGAAAAAGAAACAUUUACUUGUGAGCUGCCAGUUGCAACCUCUGUGCAAGCUGUGAGAUGGGGAGAGAAGGGAAAUAGCAUGACCCAAAAAUGGCUCUGCAUCAACCUUCUGCUGGUUCCUCCUCAUCUUCCAUUUCUAAGAUCAUCUAGCUUUGAUAGUACAAGCUACUCAUUCUUUUUUUUUUGAGAUGGAGUUUCGCUCUUGUUACCCAGGCUGGAGUGCAAUGGCGCGAUCUCGGCUCACCGCAACCUCCACCUCCUGGGUUCAGGCAAUUCUCCUGCCUCAGCCUCCUGCCACUCAUUCUUAAUAUUUUUUUUUAAGACACAGGGUCUGGCCG
This is a non-coding RNA of Callithrix jacchus (white-tufted-ear marmoset), 14792 nucleotides long. NCBI's taxonomy places the organism in Eukaryota, Metazoa, Chordata, Mammalia, Primates, Cebidae. The record is from RefSeq and is a predicted model, not a curated record.